Molecule: transfer RNA, 73 nt
Filed under: Camelus bactrianus (Bactrian camel)
Lineage: Eukaryota; Metazoa; Chordata; Mammalia; Artiodactyla; Camelidae
Also listed under: 2 other names
Rfam family: tRNA
About the family: Transfer RNA (tRNA) molecules are approximately 80 nucleotides in length. Their secondary structure includes four short double-helical elements and three loops (D, anti-codon, and T loops).
Source: Rfam by way of RNAcentral
GAGAGUGUAGCUCAAGUGGCAGAGCGCCUGCUUAGCAUGCACAAGGUUCUGGGUUCCACCCCCAGCACCCCCU